GAUGAAGAACGCAGCGAAAUGCGAUACGUAAUGUGAAUUGCAAAUUCAGUGAAUCCUCGAGUCUUUGAACGCACAUUGCGCCCCCUGGUAUUCCGGGGGGCAUGCCUGUCCGAGCGUCAUUGCUGCCCUCAAGCACGGCUUGUGUGUUGGGCCCCGUCCUCCGAUCCCGGGGGACGGGCCCGAAAGGCAGCGGCGGCACCGCGUCCGGUCCUCGAGCGUAUGGGGCUUUGUCACCCGCUCUGUAGGCCCGGCCGGCGCUUGCCGAUCAACCCAAAUUUUUUAUCCAGGUUGACCUCGGAUCAGGUAGGGAUACCCGCUGAACUUAAGCAUAUCAAUAAGCGGAGGA
This 346-nucleotide unclassified non-coding RNA is filed under the name soil metagenome. RNAcentral's name for it is "partial contains 5.8S ribosomal RNA, internal transcribed spacer 2, and large subunit ribosomal RNA". The stretch from base 1 to 119 matches the Rfam family "5.8S ribosomal RNA", at positions 35 to 154 of the family's 154-position model. The record is from RNAcentral.